AUGGAGGUGCAGGCCCAAGUACUUCGAAUCAUCAACAAGAAAUCCAAGAAAGAACAGCGAAGGAAAAACGUGACAAGAAAAGUGUUUUCUCGACUCGAGAUGUUAGAAGGUGCUAAAUCAAUAGGUGCCGGAGCUGCUACAAUUGCUUUAGCCGGAGCUGCUGUCGGUAUUGGAAACGUCCUCAGUUCUUUGAUUCAUUCCGUGGCGCGAAAUCCAUCAUUGGCUAAACAAUCAUUUGGUUAUGCCAUUUUGGGCUUUGCUCUCACCGAAGCUAUUGCAUUGUUUGCCCCAAUGAUGGCCUUUCUGAUCUCAUUCGUUUUCCGAUCGCAUAAAAAGUCAUGA
RNAcentral lists this ribosomal RNA (342 nucleotides) under Triticum aestivum (bread wheat). RNAcentral describes it as "partial small subunit ribosomal RNA". The record is from RNAcentral. Lineage: Eukaryota; Viridiplantae; Streptophyta; Magnoliopsida; Poales; Poaceae.